Molecule: non-coding RNA, 2438 nt
Organism: Paramuricea clavata
Lineage: Eukaryota; Metazoa; Cnidaria; Anthozoa; Malacalcyonacea; Plexauridae
Source: the annotation of a GenBank genome assembly
AGAUUGAUAGAAAAGUGUGAAUGUGUCAUGAUCUACAGUGCUAGUGGAAAUGAUUUGUUGAUGUGUAACUAAAUAUAUCCAUUGUGUUUGUUUCAUUGUCACUAUCAUGAAAUCGUGGAUGUGUUAUUUUGCGUUUUUCAUAAAAUUAUGGAGCCAGUUUUGUCUUGCGUUUUAUACUGUAAUAAACAUUGGAAUCCUGAAGGAUGGUGUGAUGCAGAAAUAGUAUAAUGUGCUGAUUUGUUGUUCCAGGGAAAAUGCUUCCUGGUUUGCUUGUACCAUGUAUUUUUAAUACGCUUUUGUUGAGUAAGUUUCCUUACUGUCUGGUAUGUGCUGAAUGUGUUGUCGUGUGUGUUGUGCUGUGUCGUGUGUUGCGUUGUGUUGUUUAUGUUAUAUUCAAUGAUGGUUAUAUUCAAUUGAAUAUGUUGUGUUACGACAACUAUCCUGAUAUAUCUUUUUAUUCAGAUCAAUAUCGGAUGUGGAACCGGAAUAUUGAAUACUCAUGCCAGUCAUGGGUUUUAAGUUACUGUAGUUUAAGAAAAAACGAAUUUUCCUUUCAAGUAUUCAUAUUCAGUCUCACCGGAAAUAUCCAUUUUUUAACUUUCUUUUUUGAGAUAUUAUGCUUUAAUUUUGGAACAAAUGAACUAUAUGUCAUAUUUAUGUUCAUAUAUAAGAAUCAGAAACAUUUAAGUGGGCAGGAAUAUUGAAUAUUAAAAAAAUAUUCCGCUUCCACCCCGGAAUAACUAAGACUGAACAUUCUUGCACUUUGAAUAGCUCGCGUAUAUUUUGUAGCGAGAAAUCUUUUCGCUAAUUUUGCAAUUUGAUUGUAUGCAUAUAAUGUAACUUUUACUGUAUCAAUUACCGUUUUUCAUAAUUUGGCGACAUGCAAGUGAACAUGAAGAACAAAGACCUACAAAUUGACAUUCUUGUUUUGUAAAAAAAUAAAUCUUGCUCUGUAGAAAAAAUCGAUCUUGUUCUGUAGCCGUGAUUAUGAAAAACUCGUCCACAUGCAUACGAUAGCAUAACUUUUGGAAAAAGUGGAAAUAUUGUGUUGUUGAAAUAACUCUGGAAGGCACGUUUGGCAAAGAGUAGGCGUUAUUAAUUGACGGGCACGAGAGAAAGGCGGGCAAAGAAAAGAGAUUGGAGGCGUAGACGAGUGCAUGGUAUCAUGUAUUCCAUAGUUUUCCUAAAUAUAUGUCCUGUUUAUGAAAAAAAUGCCCCAUCCUCGUCCCCAGGCCCAAGGUCGGGCGGAUGAAAUGCCCUUAUUCAAAAAGAAUUUUUUUAAUUUGCCCUAUACAGGGUGUAUCAAAAAAAACUGAACAGAUUUGAAAUUGCUCUCAAUUUCGCAAAACACCUAUUUGUAUCCGGUUUUUUAUAUAUAUAUAGCUUCUUUGGGUACUUAUAAUGUAAAAUAAUGAAAAAAAAUUCUCGAACUCAAAUUUUGUGAACCAGGGGGGGGUGUCUUUUCCAACAAAAUAAAAAGGACUCGCGCACAAAAUUUAAAAGUUGUAAUCAUAUUUUGAGUUAAUAGAUGGAAAAUAUGUCGGGUUUUUAAUUACUGUACAAAAUUUCAGACAAUUUGGUUUAGUUUAAGCCCUUUAACUAUUCACCCAAAAUUACAUUUUUCAUAAAAAUCAGCUAUUCGCAUGCUUAAUUAAUGCCUUUGCCUAAUUUGCAUAUGUCAUCAAUAUGCAAAUUAGGUAAAGGCAUAAUUAAGCAUGCGAAAGGCUGAUUUUCUAGAAUAAAAUGAAUAGUUAAAGGACUUAAACUAAACCAAAUUGUCUGAAAUUUUGUACAGUAAUUAAAAACCCAACCAAUUUUACAUCUAUUAACUCAAAAUAUGAUUACAGCUUUUAAAUUUUGUGCGCGAGCAAUUUUUAAUUUGUUGGAAAAGACACGCCCCCCCCCGUUCACAAAUUUUGAGUUCGAGAAUUUUUUUUCAUUGUUCUACAUUAUAAGUACCCAAAGAAGCUAUAUAUAUAAAAAACGGAUACAAAUAGGUGUUUUGCGAAAUUGAGAGCAAUUUCAAAUCUGUUCAGUUUUUUUUUAUACACCCUGUAUAUGUUGCUUGUACAAGCAAACGUGCUUUUCUGCAGUUAUUUCUCUUUCGUUUUCCAAUCUUUAUGCUCUUUACUCUUUAGGUGCAUGAGAAAAAUAUUUAUUUUUAUAGAUUCCUAUUAAAUAAUUAUAUAUUUGAUUGAUAAUUUGCACAUUUGAAUAGAGCACAUAACAUAAAUUCAUCAAAAGGAGUGUGUGAUGUGAAUUGUCUCUUUAUUUAAUUAAGAACAACUUGUUAACAAGUUUCAAGUUGUUCGUAACAAUUUUGUAACCGAUCUUGACAGAUUUGCAACAGGAUUGAUUAUUUGCGAUUGUCGGCAUAAAAUUAUACAAAUAUUUAAUGAAUAUUUAUGAGUGCAAUGGUAACUACAAUAGUGCAUGAG